AUACGUAGGGGGCGAGCGUUGUCCGGAAUGACUGGGCGUAAAGGGCGUGUAGGCGGCGGUGUAAGUCUGGAGUGAAAGUCCCGCAUUCGAUGUGGGAAUUGCUUUGGAUACUGCAGUGCUAGAGUGCGGAAGAGGUAAGUGGAAUUCCCAGUGUAGCGGUGAAAUGCGUAGAGAUUGGGAGGAACACCAGUGGCGAAGGCGACUUACUGGGCCGUAACUGACGCUGAGGCGCGAAAGCGUGGGGAGCGAACAGGAUUAGAUACCCUGGUAGUCCACGCGGUAAACGAUGAAUGCUAGGUGUUGCGGGUAUCGACCCCUGCAGUGCCGGAGUAAACACAAUAAGCAUUCCGCCUGGGGAGUACGGCCGCAAGGUUGAAACUCAAAUGAAUUGGCGGGG
This 397-nucleotide ribosomal RNA is filed under the name uncultured bacterium. RNAcentral's name for it is "partial 16S ribosomal RNA". It matches the Rfam family "Bacterial small subunit ribosomal RNA", at positions 523 to 918 of the family's 1533-position model. The record is from RNAcentral.